This 451-nucleotide ribosomal RNA is filed under the name Macrothelidae gen. 2 sp. 1 ZZY-2021a. RNAcentral describes it as "partial large subunit ribosomal RNA". It matches the Rfam family "Bacterial large subunit ribosomal RNA", at positions 1856 to 2646 of the family's 2925-position model. The record is from RNAcentral. Lineage: Eukaryota; Metazoa; Arthropoda; Arachnida; Araneae; Macrothelidae.
AAUCUGCUCAAUGAACAUUAAAUAGCCGCGGUACCCCGUGCUAAGGUAGCAUAAUCAUUUGCCUUUUAAUAGAAGGCUAGUAUGAAUGGUCUAACAUGUUAACAACUUUAUUAAUAAGUUUUCUUAAAACUAUCUUGAGAGUAAGAAGACUCCCAUUCUUUAGGGGGACGACAAGACCCUGUCGAACUUUACUUUAAGUUGGGCUGGGGCGGCCUUAAACAAAUUCUUUUUAUUCCUUCUAUAAUAAUCCCUGAUCAGGAUCAACCAAGUUACCGCAGGGAUAACAGCAUAAUUUUUUCCUAGAGUUCGUAUCUAAGAAAAAGAUUGUGACCUCGAUGUUGAAUUAAUAUUCUAUUAGAGGCAAGACUCUAAUAAGAAAGUCUGUUCGACUUUUAAAUAAUUACAUGAUUUGAGUUCAGACCGGCGUAAGCCAGGUCGGUUUCUAUCUUCA